CGCUGUGCGAGGUGUAGGGACUUGCUCCUGAAGCUUUGCGCAGUCGCAGAUACCAGCUGGCUGCAACUGUUUAAUAAAAACACAGCACUGUGCAAACACGAAAGUGGACGUAUACGGUGUGACGCCUGCCCGGUGCUGGAAGGUUAAUUGAUGGGGUUAUCCGCAAGGAGAAGCUCUUGAUCGAAGCCCCAGUAAACGGCGGCCGUAACUAUAACGGUCCUAAGGUAGCGAAAUUCCUUGUCGGGUAAGUUCCGACCUGCACGAAUGGCGUAAUGAUGGCCAGGCUGUCUCCACCCGAGACUCAGUGAAAUUGAACUCGCUGUGAAGAUGCAGUGUACCCGCGGCAAGACGGAAAGACCCCGUGAACCUUUACUAUAGCUUGACACUGAACCUUGAGCCUUGAUGUGUAGGAUAGGUGGGAGGCUUUGAAGUGUGGAC
RNAcentral lists this ribosomal RNA (438 nucleotides) under Candidatus Symbiopectobacterium sp. Chty_BC. RNAcentral's name for it is "partial 23S ribosomal RNA". It matches the Rfam family "Bacterial large subunit ribosomal RNA", at positions 1749 to 2169 of the family's 2925-position model. The record is from RNAcentral. Lineage: Bacteria; Pseudomonadati; Pseudomonadota; Gammaproteobacteria; Enterobacterales; Enterobacteriaceae.